CUCAUGGUCGUUCCCAGUUCGGAACUCCACCUCAGAAUAGGGGCCGGUCAGUGGGCGUGGAUUGCAAUCAUAGCCGGGCCUGGGGGAAGUGAGAGCAGGAUAGUGGAAUGCAGUUGCCAUUAGUGGGAAGAGGAGCUAACAAGCUAGCCUGUUACGCUCAGCUGGAGUUGGGGAUGAAAUCAUGCCUCAUUUUACGGUGGUACCCGUGAGGGAUCGAGCCCAGUCUGGCUAUGACAGUCUGGAGGGGAUCAACUCCGUGGACCACGGCGAUGGUGGCCCACUGGAUAAUCAAGACACGGUCAGCUCUGACGGACAUGGCAAUCACAAAGAAGACCACCCAUUUCUCAACAGUCCUGAUGAGAAGAAGGACUUCUACGAUAGGAACUUGGCCUUGUUCGAGGAAGAGCUGGACAUCCGACCCAAAGUGUCUUCUCUGCUCAGUCGCUUGGUCAGCUACACAAACAUCACCCAGGGAGCCAAGGAGCAUGAGGAAGAGGAGAGCGCGGAGGCUUCGCGCAGAAAGACUCCCAAGUCCCCCAACAUGGGCACUCUGAUGGGCGUCUACUUACCGUGCCUCCAGAACAUUUUCGGGGUCAUCCUCUUCCUGCGACUGACGUGGAUCGUCGGGGUGGCUGGCAUCAUGCAGUCCCUGUUAAUUGUUAUCAUGUGCUGCACGUGUACCAUGCUCACGGCCAUAUCAAUGAGUGCCAUUGCAACAAAUGGUGUCGUUCCAGCCGGCGGGGCCUACUUUAUGAUCUCACGCUCUCUGGGUCCAGAAUUUGGAGGAGCUGUGGGCCUGUGCUUCUACCUUGGCACCACCUUUGCUUCCGCCAUGUACAUCCUCGGAGCCAUUGAAAUAUUCUUGCAAUACCUGGUGCCUCAGGCCGCCAUCUUUCAUGCUGCGGACCACCACGGCACCGACAGCGCGAUGCUGAACAACAUGCGCGUCUACGGCACCAUCUGCCUCAGCCUUAUGGCCGUGGUGGUUUUCGUGGGGGUCAAAUAUGUCAAUAAGUUGGCCUCGCUCUUCCUCGCCUGCGUCAUUAUUUCAAUCAUCUCCAUCUACGCCGGCGCGAUCAAGUCCGUCUCUCAUCCGCCAGAAUUCCCGAUUUGCAUGCUUGGCAACAGGACCUUGGUCAGAGAUCGUUUUGAUGUGUGCGCAAAGACCGUCACCAUUGGCAACGUCACAGCACCCAGUCAGCUGUGGGACAUGUUCUGCCUUCCGGGGAACGCGAGCAGCGCACAGUGUGAUGACUAUUUCCUGCAGAAUAACGUCACAGAAAUCCAGGGCAUUCCCGGAUUGGCUAGUGGAAUAUUUAAAGACAACUUAUGGGGCGACUACCUGCAGAAAGGCGAGAUACUGGAGAAGGAUGGCCUCGCGUCGGUGGACUCCCACAGCACCAUGGAGCACUUUGGCAUGUAUGUCUCUGCAGACAUCGCCACGUCCUUUAUGCUGCUGGUGGGCAUCUUCUUCCCCUCGGCCACAGGCAUUAUGGCAGGCUCCAACCGGUCUGGAGAUCUCCGGGAUGCUCAGAAAUCCAUUCCCAUUGGAACCAUCUUAGCUAUUACCACCACGACUCUUGUCUAUCUAACAUCUGUGAUUUUGUUUGGGGCCUGUGUGGAAGGUGUGGUCCUAAGAGACAAGUUUGGUGAUGCCGUUAGGAACAAUUUGGUCGUAGGAACUCUGUCCUGGCCAUCCCCUUGGGUGAUUGUCAUCGGUUCCUUCUUCUCCACGGUGGGGGCAGGUCUGCAGACACUCACUGGAGCGCCUAGACUUCUUCAGGCUAUCGCUACGGACAAUAUCAUCCCGUUCCUCAGAGUUUUUGCUCAUGGGAAGGCUAAUGGUGAGCCAACAUGGGCCCUAUUGCUGACUGUUCUCAUAGCUGAGCUUGGUAUCCUGAUCGCCUCAUUGGAUAUGGUGGCACCUAUUCUUUCCAUGUUUUUCCUGAUGUGCUACCUCUUUGUCAACCUGGCCUGUGCCGUGCAAACACUCCUUCGCACCCCCAACUGGAGGCCGAGGUUCAGAUACUACCACUGGACUCUAUCCUUCCUCGGAAUGAGCAUGUGCUUGGCCCUGAUGUUCAUCUCCUCCUGGUAUUACGCUAUUGUGGCCAUGGGCAUUGCUGGGAUGAUCUACAAGUACAUCGAGUACCAGGGAGCAGAGAAGGAGUGGGGAGAUGGCAUCAGAGGACUUUCCCUAAGUGCUGCACGCUAUGCCCUGUUAAGGUUAGAAGUGGGACCCCCGCAUACCAAGAACUGGAGACCUCAGCUGUUGGUUCUGUCAAAGCUGGAUGAGGAUCUCCACAUUAAAUAUCCCCGCCUGAUGACUUUUGCCUCGCAGCUAAAGGCCGGGAAGGGUCUUACCAUUGUGGGAUCUGUCAUCCAGGGAAAUUUCCUGGAAAGCUACGGAGAACUGCAAGCAGCAGAACAGACCAUCAAGAACAUGAUGGACAUUGAGAGGGUCAAGGGUUUCUGUCAGGUGGUGGUGGCGAGCAAGGUGAGGGAGGGCAUCGUCCACCUGAUCCAGUCCUGCGGUCUCGGCGGCAUGAAGCACAACACGGUGAUGAUGGGAUGGCCGUACGGCUGGAGGCAAAGCGAGGAUCCUCGAGCUUGGAAGACUUUUAUCAACACAGUCCGUUGCACCACUGCGGCCCACCUGGCUCUAAUGGUGCCCAAAAACGUGUCGUUCUACCCGAGCAACCACGAGCGCUUCACCGACGGCAGCAUUGACGUGUGGUGGAUAGUCCACGAUGGGGGAAUGCUCAUGCUGCUGCCUUUCCUGCUCAAGCAACAUAAAGUGUGGAGAAAAUGCCAAAUGCGUAUCUUCACUGUCGCCCAGAUGGAUGACAACAGCAUCCAGAUGAAGAAGGAUUUAGCCACAUUCCUCUACCAGUUGAGGAUAGAGGCAGAAGUGGAAGUGGUGGAGAUGCACGAUAGCGACAUCUCGGCGUACACUUACGAGCGCACGCUGAUGAUGGAGCAGAGAUCUCAGAUGCUGAGGCAGAUGAGACUGUCCGGCGCAGAGAGGAAGAGAGAGGCCCAACUUAUUAAGGACAGACAUUCACUGGUGCGAAUGGGAAGUUUGUACUCGGACGAGGAGGAGGACACAUUGGACAGUCCUCUGCCGGAGAACGUUCACAUGACGUGGACGAAGGAGAAAUGCGAAGCUGAGAGGAGAAUCAGAAACAAUGCGCCCGAAAACUUCAGAGAGCUCAUGAGCCUCAAACCUUCAUCGUCUCCCGCGGCGUGACGGACAGUGAGGGUGGGGGUUGCCGAGCGGCUCACAGACAAGCGUGUCGGAGAGAUGUUGAAAGAAAGCCAAUGCCGAAAGUCUUCCGUGCGCUCUCCUGGGUGCGGCUGUCCCACUGAAUCAACACUCACCGUCUCCUCCCCUGCCGGGCUGAGACUUACAGCAUGAGAGUAGGCGCCAUAGGCCCCAAACUGGAUAGUCAUGGGACUGAAGAUGCCGAGCUGACCCGCCAUCUGGUGCAUCCGGCGCAAAGUCCGCUCCUUGUCGGUGUCUGCGAAUUUGACCACCAAGCUGGACGAGGCGCCCUAAAGUGUAACUUGAUGAACAGAUAAAAUGGAGCUUGAAGGAGAAGCAAAGUGGGGACCUGGAUGAUGAUGAUGAUGAUGAUGAUCAUGAUGAUGAUGACGGUGACAAUGAGAGGAGAAUUUUUUCCUGAGUGGGCUACAAGUAACAGUACAGUCCUGCAAAGGGGCAAAAGACAAGACUCGGACCAUUCAAUCCAGCAACGUCAAAACUGAUUGUUGUAAAAGUGGACUCAAGCAUGGAUCCGUUCUGAAAGACGUGCUGCUCAUCACAGACCACGCAGUACUCGUUAAGCGUGGGGAUCCUCUGCUCGGAGUACUUCAUUAUCUGUCCAAGCCACAUGGCCGCCAGCGCAAUCUCCUCAAACUGAUUGCCUAUUCACUUUGUCACCCAGUGGGAACUGAGCCCAUACUGUCUGCACCAGUCAGGCAAGUGAAUCACUAUAUCAUUAUUUUCUUGAAGAGGGGCCAAAUUGUGAAAUGACAUUAUCAGACUCUCAACAGUCCACUUCCAAGGAAGUUUAAUAUACUGAAAAUAUUCUCAAAUGCUAUAUUUUAGGAUCUUUAUAAUCUCCCGCAGCAACUCAUUUCUGCAUGUUGGCUGAAAAAUGUCCCAGGGAGCCCAAUCUCUCGCCAUCCAGACAGGAAGUGAGACUCUUGAUCACCUCAGCUUGCUGAGACUUUUCACAGACCUUCAUCCUUAUCUUUCCCUCUCUGCUUUUAUGUUCCACAGCGGCAUAGAGACAAGCUCCGAGCCCCCUGACAGGAUUUACAUUUCAAUUACAGGUCUUGGACGAUAACGCAAAUUGGGAUCAUAAAGUUAGCGUGAAAGACGGAAUGGGACAAUACUUUACAGGGUGUCUAAUGGUGACAGUGCUGCAAAAGAAGACAGUACCAUAUUUUACCUUCUCAACAGCUCAUGCUGAACAAAGGAUAUUUUAAAAAAUAUAUCAUAAAAAGAAAACAGUGAGUUCUCUGCCAGUGUUCAUACUUUCAAAUGGUCAGUUUUUCCUUCCUUAGAAAUUACAAUGAGGUGUUUUUAGAAUGGGCCCGAGGUCAACACGUUGGUGACCCCUGCGCUAAAGUGGUUAGCAUGGUUGUGGCUAACAAAGCAGCAGUUUUAUCAGAACUGGAGCAAAAAGUGUCAUUCACCUGAAUGAAAAGGACAAUUUCUUCUAACUGCCUUGAACAAAAGCGCGAACAAGUCUCUUGCGAGAACUGUACUUUAUGAUCCGACUAGCCCAUAUAAUGCUUGUCGAAUCACCUUCCACCUUCACAAACUUCUUCUCAUAAUGACUCUAUUCCACAUGGAUUUGUGGAAUGAACUCCUUCACAAAACUCCAUCUGGCGUGUCAAGGUUAAUUGUGUCCCAACGCCAGCAACAGGAAAUGACUAAACCCGUACCUGGAUGCCGUACAGGAACUGCUCCGGCUCGUUCUCACCGUCGGAUUCCUCGUCGGUCCAGCACUGGCUUUUGAUGUCCUGUGGGCAAGCAAAGCAGCAGCCAUCAUUUCCUUGAGCGCCUUUCAUCACUAUAUUUAUAAUGCACUUUACAAAGUGAUUAAAAAUAACCAUCCUUUUGUUGGGAGAUUUAAAGCAAAUUCCUCAGAGGUCCAAUGGAAUAAAUAGACUUUAUUUGAUGUAGGUACCGGUGAGCCAGCUUACCAUCAGUUCAGCUGUUCUCAGGAUUCAAUCAGUCAGCUUUAGGCCUCGUGCCAACCAUUGCAGCUGGGAAGGAAGGAAGCCAGUACGUCUUGCGCACCUUGGUACAACAGACAUAGGUCAGAUCCACGCGGAAACAAAAGAGGCCUUAGCUUAACAUUACACACUUUUGUCAGCAAAUUCUCCUUUAAACCGCCUGCACUUCACCUUCCUGCUGUCUCCUAGCAACAACCGUCUCUGCCUCUUUUUCUGAGUGGCAUUAAUCACUGUGGAGUGUGUGUGUGGGAGAACGGUGCUGGAUGUUCAGAACUCGGGUUGUCUGUGUUACAUUGUGUUUUUUUCCUCGGGAAAAAAAGAAAGAUCUAUUCAGUUUGGCUGACCUUUUAAUGGACUUGUAAAAUGUUUUAUUUUUGCCCAUGUCAGCUAGCCUAUUGUUAAAAAUGAACAUUUUCUGAUUUGCUGGCAUGGUGAAUUGGAUUUUUUUUAAAGUCACUGUUUGGAGUGUGCAUAAUCACCAAUCCAUUGGUUUCUAAGGAUUUGAAAUGGAAUUGAUUAAUCAUGUUGAAACAGCAUUCACUUCUUGGCUGCAACCAGCAGUCGUCAAUGUUUAUUUACUGACGAUGCUAUGAACAGGAGUUAAGACGAUCAAUAAUCUUUCAUUCAUGCAGUCAUUAUUUGUUUUCUUUUUUUCUAGUUUUUCAUUCUGUUUAAUAUAUAUUGCCUUUGUGGAAUUUGAAUUGAGCAGAAAAAUCCACCCAUUUUUAUCCAUCUCAGGGUGCAGCCAUUUUGUCUUGUACUGCCAAUUGCUGUCGACUAAAUAUGACAUCACAGUGUCGAAGGGCCUCACCUGUUUGCAGGGUUUGGUCACGUGACAUUUGCAAGCUGACCCCCGUGAUGGAUUUUUCUACCUUCCACAAAUACUAAUGAGAAUACUGCGUUUAGUCGUGUGGGAUUGUCGAGAUAUGUUUUUGUGUGACUUCUCCUUUUGUUGGCUAAUUUUACAUGACUUCUCCUUUUGUUGGCUGAUCGUAUUACCUCAAAACAUAUAUCAUGACUGACUUCUAUUGUUUCUGAAAUCUCAACAAAUCAUCCGUCAAGCACCGUUGCAAUAGGUUCCGCUCGAACCACAAAGCUGUCAUGUAUGACAAAGAAAACAGCGGUCCUUCCUAUUUUGGUUCAGUGAGUUCAACAAUGUUGUCUUAUCAAAUGCCGGUGCACGGCUGUCACGCAAAAGACCAUUUACAUCAUUAAUAAACCAAAACACAAAGCACUUUAGUGUUAGACACAUUACGAUAGAUAAUGCUGAUACGAAUUCCAAACAAGGACAUCAAGUCCCGACACCUCAUGCGUUCUUUGUGCGCCGUGUCGCUUCAGAGACCGUCUUCCUCAUAACUAAAUUCUACCUUGUCACGUACUGAAUAUGAGAAUAUCCCUUUCACUUGCACACAGCAUCCUGAUGUGCCCCCCCCCAUCACCAUCCCCGUGGCUUUGUGGUGCCACAUUCCACCAUCGUCCUCAUUUCUCCCCAUGAUGAUUAUUUAGCACAAAAUGCAGUCAAGCGCGUUUUCCCCCUCCCCCCUCUGCACACCCUCCCCAAACCUCCUCCAUCCAUAUUUACCUUCAGAGAGGAUGGAGACGCGGGAUGCUGUCCUCGCCUCAGCCUCUUCCCGCCUGGCGCCUGCAAGCAAAGACAAAAAGCUCAUCAAAAAUAACUCCGUGAUAUGAGCCGGUGUGUUUGUCAACUGCAGCUCUCACCGCGCCGACCGCCGUCUAGUGUAUUUUGCCUGACAACACUAAAGGGUUUGGAGCAUGCUCAGUGAGAGCAGACAGUCAGGUCAUGUGACCCGCAGCUGACUGCACUGCUGCUGCUGGGCUGGGAGGAUGAUAAAAAAAAAA
RNA transcript from Syngnathus acus (greater pipefish), 7110 nucleotides. It is a transcript of the gene named solute carrier family 12 member 4, with no coding region annotated. The record is from RefSeq and is a predicted model, not a curated record. Lineage: Eukaryota; Metazoa; Chordata; Actinopteri; Syngnathiformes; Syngnathidae. The transcript is spliced from 28 exons.